GGCCAUCAGAAGGGCGAGAUGAACAGGAAAAGGAAAUUGAAUACAGUAAAAUUCUAUUCUUCUUUUAAGAAACUGGAGUCCCCUUUAUUCCUGCAUGGGCACGAGGUGUAAGGAGUUGAUGUGUCAGCUGACAACUGUUCAUGAAAACCUCACCAAGAAAUGUCUGAGUUUCUAUAGAAUUUAAAGCCCCAGACUGAUCUAUUUUAGUUUCGAGCACAAGAACUUAUGUUUGACCUCGGUAGGGGAUGUAGCACACUGAGAUGCUCAAUAUCUGCUGAACAAAAGGACAGAGCUAUAGAACUGAAACCUGGACACCUCACCUGCAAGGAGGCCUUCAGCGUUCAAAGUUGUGAGAGCAUGUACAUUAUGCAGGUUUUAACGUGCAGUCCAAAUGACGAGAAGCACAGUUGUCUUGCCAUGCUGGUCACCUCAGGGGCUCUCUAUCAUCUCCAAGACCAAGUAGAAAGUUUGUAUUUUUGGUUUAUGUAA
Ursus thibetanus thibetanus is the source of this 489-nucleotide long non-coding RNA. Lineage: Eukaryota; Metazoa; Chordata; Mammalia; Carnivora; Ursidae. The record is from Ensembl.